GUCUUUUCCUGCCCUUUUAGAGACUGUCUCACUUUUACAUUACCCACUCCUUUAGAUAAAAUGGAGUAAUUCUUCGCAACCGUCGCCAUUUUAGGAACAGAUGACGACUGUGAUGACCUUGCUGCCAUGCCAGUCAGGUUGCUAGCCAGCUUGCCAAUCCACCAAUCUCUUCAGAAGUUUGUGGGGCAUUGGCAAUAGGGAGCCUCCGAAAGCGCUCUUCACAGCCACUUGAAGCUGCCUGAAGCAGCGUGGCGCACUGGGCCGCAGUAGCAUGAGUCUCACGGCCGAGGGUGGGAGACUCGACGUGGCCCCUUCGACGAUCGGGAUGGGCGGCUCGAGAGCAGCCGUCACCGAUGUGGGAAAAUUAAACCCUUCUGAGGGGGACUCCGUGGCCAAUAGAUGAAACACGGCCGAUUACGGACUGUCAAUUCACUACUGGCAAAUUUUUCAGGUGGUUUUUGGGAGGUCGGAAAAGCGGCCUUGUUAUGAAGAGCUUGCAGCAGUCCGUGCCGAUGGGGCCUACAAGUGGCCCUGAAGCCUCCGAGGCCGAAAACACUCAAUCUCUUCCCCUUGUUGGAGAAAUAGUUCUGAACCUCUCUGCCUGGCUCCAAGCAACGGAGAGGAAAGAGGAGAUGAGAGGGAGAGAACGGGGUGGGGGGGAGAAAUAGAUGAAAGAAGGGUGUUUUUCUUUUAGGUAAUAGCAAGUAAUAAGGAUCAGGGACAGAAAAAAGGAUUUGGAGAAUGGAAUACUGUAGUAAUAUCAGCAGAAAAUAGAGAAAGCUAAAAAACGCUGCCUUGGAGCUUGCUGAGGACAGAAAGAACUGGGGUGGGGUUAUCCUCCUCAGGCUCUAGUGGGUGUGGCUUAGUUUUUUAACUAUUUACUUUCUGUCUUGCCUGGAGUUCCUGAGAGAGGAUAACCCAUGAGAUGUCCCUGGCCUCAGCAACCGAGAACUUACUACAGAGCCUUGGCAGAGAGAAACAGCUGAAACACCCCUCAAACCUCCAAGAACUAGACUCCAACAAAGGAUGCUUUCUUAAAGAGUGCCUUUUCACAGUGAAAGGAGAUUGUGUCUGCAGCAUAACAAGACCAGCGUAACCUCUAUGAAACUCAUUCAAACUCAAGAGUUUACAUCAACAUCAUUUACUGCAACAAGAACAUCGCCUGGAAAUAGAGGCAAAAAUGAGAUUAAGAAAGCAGCAGGAAGAUAACUGAAGAGACAACAGCCCUUUAAACAAGACAACUGGCUGUAUCCCAAAUACGUCUUCUGGGCAUUUCCAUUCAUGAAGGGGGUGGGUGUGGGGGGAAGGGAAGAUUGUCCCCAUUCCCUCCCACUGCAUUCAUUUUGCUCUGUAGGAUGACUUGACUUUCGGGAAUGAACUUUCAGGGUCUGUUGUGGGGAAUUCCUAUGCAGGAACUUCUUUGUGAUAGAACACAACCCAAUAUCCCAAAUAGCAAGUUGACAAAUAUUGUUUGGUAUUACUGAAUAUUAAAAGGCAACAUUUCAGUUAUACUGUCUUGAUAUUUCAUUCUAACCAGAUAAUGGUUAAUCAAUACAAACUUCAUUGGGGACAAACACAGUUCCACAAAGGGAGCAAAGUCUUCUUGACAGAGAUCAUGUAAAGAACUUCUCAGCAGACAAAGUAUGUGCCUUUUCCCCCAAUUUCCAUUGUUUUCAUAUAAAGCAGAAUUUAUACAGAAUUAUGCAUGAUUCUUGCAUUUGUCUAUCAAGUACAUUCCUAAUCUACUCAUAUGUUCGUACCUGGAAGCAACUAAGACAGUUUUUGGUGCAGUAAGCGUUGCUUGGAGAAUUGUGUGCAAUGCAGUCUUAUGAUACCUCUCACUGCCAAUAACUAGGCUAAUACAGAGAAAAAGCUUCCUUACAUCUGAUUAUGGUAGUGCUUGGUUUUUCAAAGUGUCAGGCAGGCCUCUCCAAAGAGGUGAGGCAAGGGAGAUGCAAGUUUCUUCCCACAGAUGCAACCUAAUUUGUGUAUUCAACCACUGAUCCAGCAGACACUCACCUAUUUCUCGUGAGCACAACUCGGACAGUCUGACCUCAAACACAGAAGCCCAAUUCAGACAUUAUGCUGUACAAGUGUACAGAUGUCCAGACAUUUGUACACAUGUGUGAAUUACCUGUGCUCAUUUUAAAAGUGAACCUGGAUACAGGCCCUUCAAAUGCCUGGCGCAGAGAGGAAAUGUACUUCUGUAUGUGUUCAGUAUAAUAUGUGAAUCAGUGUACCUGUGAACACUGUACACUCGUAUGAGAGCUGAACAUAAUGUGUGAAUGGGCCUACAAUGAUUGCCAGUUCCUAGGGCUAAUACAACACCUUGUUGUCACAAGGCCUUUUGUGUCACUAUCUCAGAUAAUGAGAAGUACACUGUUAGAUUUCCUCUGAUGUAUUUGCUUUUAUGCCAGACAAAACCCACCACCAUCUUCGCAAUAAUCACAGAUUUAAGGACAUCAUCUUCUUCUUUGUAACUUUUUUGGUAUGCACUCACUCACUCUGUUCUGGAGCUAACUUUCCCAACACUAUUUUUCAAUUUAUGUUUAGACGACCUUACCAACAAGAACUAGAUAGGGAAUGUCUUGAAAUGCAGUAUCAUGGCCUUUUCCUUUCCAAAUGCUACUUGGCUGAAGACACACAUAUGCAGUUUGUGGACCCUGCCAGAAAAAUUCCACUGAAACAAGGUACCAGAACAUUUUGGGGUGGGGUAAGAAUCUAGCCAAAAGGUAUAAGAGGAGAUCCUUUUGUUAAGAGACUCUUCACUCCAAUGGACAGACAGCUUCCAGGACUGGAACUGCAGCACAUACAUUCAUUCCUAGGAGUCCCUAGAAAUUUACAAGGAUAUCCAGGUUACACUAAGGUUAGCUAACUUUCAAAUCCUUAACUUGAUUUAAGAAAAGCUCAUGAACUUUUAAAACGUUAAAAGGGCCUAUUUCUUGAAACAUUUAGGGAAGAAUGGAUUGGUAUAGAGACAAACAGAACAUUUACUCAAUCUUUAACUCCCACCUUUGACUUGUGAACUGUAAUUUUUUUUCCUUGAUGGUUUUGUA
This is a long non-coding RNA of Hemicordylus capensis (graceful crag lizard), 3056 nucleotides long. RefSeq lists it as uncharacterized. The transcript is spliced from 3 exons. NCBI's taxonomy places the organism in Eukaryota, Metazoa, Chordata, Lepidosauria, Squamata, Cordylidae. The record is from RefSeq and is a predicted model, not a curated record.